This 366-nucleotide ribosomal RNA is filed under the name uncultured eukaryote. RNAcentral describes it as "bacterial SSU rRNA". It matches the Rfam family "Eukaryotic small subunit ribosomal RNA", at positions 592 to 956 of the family's 1831-position model. The record is from RNAcentral.
CAAUAGCGUAUAUUAAAGUUGUUGCGGUUAAAAAGCUCGUAGUUGGAUUUCUGCUGAGGACGACCGGUCCGCCCUCCGGGUGAGCAUCUGGUUCGGCCUUGGCAUCUUCUUGGUGAACGUAUCUGCACUUGACUGUGUGGUGCGGUACCCAGGACUUUUACUUUGAGGAAAUUAGAGUGUUUCAAGCAGGCAUACGCCUUGAAUACAUUAGCAUGGAAUAAUAAGAUAGGACCUCGGUUCUAUUUUGUUGGUUCUAGAGCUGAGGUAAUGAUUAAUAGGGAUAGUUGGGGGUGCUUAGUAUUGGCCGGUCCAAGAGGUGAAAUUCUUGGGAUUCGGUCAAAUGUAGCUUAACUUUAAUGACGGAAA